UCAUCGAUCUAAAUCGGCCGUCCGGGCCGUU
RNAcentral lists this small RNA (31 nucleotides) under Bombyx mori (domestic silkworm). RNAcentral describes it as "piRNA piR-bmo-1388164". Lineage: Eukaryota; Metazoa; Arthropoda; Insecta; Lepidoptera; Bombycidae. The record is from RNAcentral.